RNAcentral lists this ribosomal RNA (619 nucleotides) under uncultured bacterium. RNAcentral describes it as "bacterial SSU rRNA". It matches the Rfam family "Bacterial small subunit ribosomal RNA", at positions 92 to 727 of the family's 1533-position model. The record is from RNAcentral.
UUAGUGGCGGACGGGUGAGUAACACGUGAGCAACCUGCCUAUCAGAGGGGGAUAACGAUUGGAAACGAUCGCUAAUACCGCAUGACAUAGCGGAACCGCAUGGUUCUGUUAUCAAAGAUUUUAUCGCUGAUAGAUGGGCUCGCGUCCGAUUAGAUAGUUGGUGGGGUAACGGCCUACCAAGUCGACGAUCGGUAGCCGGACUGAGAGGUCGAACGGCCACAUUGGGACUGAGACACGGCCCAGACUCCUACGGGAGGCAGCAGUGGGGGAUAUUGCACAAUGGGGGAAACCCUGAUGCAGCGACGCCGCGUGAGGGAAGACGGUCCCCUGGAUUGUAAACCUCUGUCUUCGGGGACGAAACGAGACGGUACCCGAGGAGGAAGCCACGGCUAACUACGUGCCAGCAGCCGCGGUAAUACGUAGGUGGCAAGCGUUGUCCGGAAUUACUGGGUGUAAAGGGAGCGUAGGCGGGCAGGCAAGUCAGGCGUGAAAUAUAUCGGCUCAACCGGUAACGGCGCUUGAAACUGCAGGUCUUGAGUGAAGUAGAGGUUGGCGGAAUUCCUAGUGUAGCGGUGAAAUGCGUAGAUAUUAGGAGGAACACCAGUGGCGAAGGCGGCCA